Molecule: long non-coding RNA, 323 nt
Filed under: Ananas comosus (pineapple)
Lineage: Eukaryota; Viridiplantae; Streptophyta; Magnoliopsida; Poales; Bromeliaceae
Description: long non-coding RNA (ACOM_LNC015708)
Source: RNAcentral
AUUUAUUUUAAAAAUUUAUACCAAAUUAUAUAAUAAAUAGUGAACUAGGCUUAGCUUGGUAUUAAGCUCCAUCUGACGCUAUAAAAUAAAAUAGAGUUGGGUAAAAACAUGUAGAGUUAUGCUUCUGCAUUUUUCGGUGGGACACUUCUCGCGAUAUUUGAAACGCAAUAUUACGUAUGAAAAUAAAUAGGAUAUUUUUUCAUCAUACUUUUCUACCGUACAUAACACAAUCUUUUCGUAAUCCCAAACGAAACCUUAGACUGUCUCGAUGUUUAUUUAUUCACCAGGCCUACUCCCCACCUCCCCCCCAUCUCUCUCUUACA